GCAGUCGGUCAGGGUCUGUUCAGUGCUAGCUUUGUACGUGCGUGCAUGAGACAUCCAUCUUGCCUUCGUCUCCAUUGUUGCAUGUCGCGGGAAGCCAGUCAGCGUUUGGUACUGGGCCAAUAUGCGCUAGCUAGGGUUGAGAUUGCCAAGGGUUGGGUUCGACAUAUUUCUUUGGUUUCGCCAUAAGCAAGUCAUCUCUUCCGGCCCGUACAAACUUGGCUCCUGACCUCGUGUGCACCUUACUUGCCUCUAGCUACGCAAGUCAAGCAUGGCCUAGAGCUCGAGGUCAAGCUAGCAAUAUGACCACGAACUAUGCAUGAAUGACACAAAGUAGUAUACCAUUUAAUACAUUGCAGUAUCAUAAUAUGAUACCACAUCCUAUCUUUUUUCAUUUAAUGAUAUGCCACAUCACCAAAUAAGUCUAAUUGACAUGCAUGAUACUGCUUAUGAUACUCCCAUUACGAACCAGCCUAACGGGC
Molecule: long non-coding RNA, 479 nt
Filed under: Hordeum vulgare
Lineage: Eukaryota; Viridiplantae; Streptophyta; Magnoliopsida; Poales; Poaceae
Description: long non-coding RNA (HVUL_LNC016343)
Source: RNAcentral